RNAcentral lists this ribosomal RNA (428 nucleotides) under uncultured bacterium. Its description in RNAcentral is "bacterial SSU rRNA". It matches the Rfam family "Bacterial small subunit ribosomal RNA", at positions 335 to 752 of the family's 1533-position model. The record is from RNAcentral.
ACUCCUACGGGAGGCAGCAGUGGGGAAUAUUGCACAAUGGGCGCAAGCCUGAUGCAGCCAUGCCGCGUGUAUGAAGAAGGGCCUUCGGGUUGAUAAAGCACUUUCAGUCGUGAGGAAGGUAGUGUAGUUAUAGCUGCUAUUAUUUGACGUUAGCGAACAGAAGAAGCACCGGCUAACUCCGUGCCAGCAGCCGCGGUAAUACGGAGGGUGCGAGCGUUAAUCGGAAUUACUGGGCGUAAAGCGCAUGCAGGUGGUUUGUUAAGUCAGAUGUGAAAGCCCGGGGCUCAACCUCGGAAUUGCAUUUGAAACUGGCAGGCUAGAGUACUGUAGAGGGGGGUAGAAUUUCAGGUGUAGCGGUGAAAUGCGUAGAGAUCUGAAGGAAUACCGGUGGCGAAGGCGGCCCCCUGGACAGAUACUGACACUCAGAU